GUCAACCUUACAAGAGCUAUUGAGUGUCGAUAGAGGAUCAUUCACUAUCAAUAUCAUGAGAGAAAUAUCCUAUGUGUUCUUGCUUAGACAAAUCUUUGGCCAAGGUUGUUCGGAUUGAGAGAUAAAAGAGUUCUCUAAGAGAAUUUGAUUAGAGCAAGACUCGAGAAGAAAUCGUAUGAGCCUGACAGCAGCAUGUCCAAUAUACGAUCUCUAAGAUUUAGAUGGAUGAGGUACCAUAGGUAUAUGGUAACUAAGGAUGGGUAGGUCUAAAGAAUUAGAUUCUCUUGUAUCGUCUGGGGACUACGA
Molecule: long non-coding RNA, 306 nt
Filed under: Musa acuminata (dwarf banana)
Lineage: Eukaryota; Viridiplantae; Streptophyta; Magnoliopsida; Zingiberales; Musaceae
Description: long non-coding RNA (MACU_LNC008143)
Source: RNAcentral